This 416-nucleotide long non-coding RNA is filed under the name Mytilus galloprovincialis (Mediterranean mussel). The record is from RNAcentral. Lineage: Eukaryota; Metazoa; Mollusca; Bivalvia; Mytilida; Mytilidae.
CAUUACAGGUCAAUGUACGGCCUUCAACACGGAUCCUUGGCUCACACCGAACAACAAGCUAUAAAGGGCCCCAAAAUUACUAGUGUAAAAAAAUUCAAACGGGAAAACGAACGGUCUAAUCUAUAUAAAAAAUUUUUAAAAAACGAGAAACGAGAAACACGUAUAAAUUACAUUAACAAACGACAACUACUGUACAUCAGAUUCCUGUCUUAGGACAGGUGCAAACAUUAGCAGUGGGAUUAAUAAAGGCAACAGUAGUAUACCGCUGUUCAAACUCAUAAAUCCAUGGACAAAAAACAAAAUCGGGGUAACGAACUAAAACUGAGGGAAACGCAUUAAUAUAAGAGAACAACGACACAACACUACAAUGUAACUAACACACACAGAAACGGACCAAGCAUCAGACAAAAUCCCAC